RNAcentral lists this long non-coding RNA (535 nucleotides) under Parus major (Great Tit). RNAcentral's name for it is "lncRNA (ENSPMJG00000010392.1)". Lineage: Eukaryota; Metazoa; Chordata; Aves; Passeriformes; Paridae. The record is from RNAcentral.
CUUCACCAGAGAUCUCUUUCACCUUUCAGAAACCAGUCUGACCAGAUUUCUCAACUUCUGUACUCUGCAAGAAGCCAGAAAAAAACCAAACAAACGAAACAAAAGUUGUCAUUAACAGCUGCCCCUCACCUUUGACACACGGGGCAUGAAACAUUCCUGCAGCUCAGCUGUCUUCCUGGGCCUCUCCUGAUGUGCUGUCCAAAGGUCAUCAAAUACAAUCUUCCCUCACCCACAGCCUCUUGGCUUGGAAGUAUGCCAAGCUGAGGCUAAGUGGUAGCACUCGGCUCCGUGAGGCCUCUCAGGUGCUAAGCAAACAAAGACUGGAGAGGAACAGAUGCCUCGGUUGCAGCUGUAAUUGUUGUCUGUCCAUUAAAGCAGAUGAGAUAUGUUCAUAGCUGCCAAAUGACAUGAAAAUGACCACAGGAGCCAACUGGGAGAUGAAUAACUCUCAUCAGGCAGCAGCAGCAAAAGGUAUUCUGGAUUGCUGGUAAUUCCAGUGCUGCCUCAAUAAAGACAUCCCCACAUGCUGAUUGCA